GGUGUUGCAAUGGUUAAGCGCUUGGCUGCUAACCAAGAGAUUGGCGGUUCAAACCCACCAGCACCU
RNAcentral lists this transfer RNA (66 nucleotides) under Loxodonta africana (African savanna elephant). It matches the Rfam family "tRNA". Rfam says of the family: Transfer RNA (tRNA) molecules are approximately 80 nucleotides in length. The record is from Rfam by way of RNAcentral. Lineage: Eukaryota; Metazoa; Chordata; Mammalia; Proboscidea; Elephantidae.